UCUCGUGGACAGUUUGGCAACCUGUGUCAAAAAUUUGAAAAAUGUUCAUAAUCUUUGACCUGAUAUUUCUUAAUGCUAGGAAUGUAGGCUAAAGAAACAGAGAUAUGAAUAAAAAUUUAGCAUAAUUGGGAACAACUGGUAACUCACUGAAUAACUAAAAAUUUUUGAAUGUUUAAGUAAAUUUUAUAUUAUUCAACCAAGAAAAUUUCCGUUGUAGAAUAAUGACAUAUAAAAAUGUAAACAUGUACCCAAAUAGACUGGAAAAACUCUGGAAGAAAUUAUGCUAAAAUAUUAGGGAGGGGUUUCUCAGUAGUGAGAUCAAUAAUUUAUAUCCCCAAUUAUCAUGUAUAUUUUUAUAACCAGACAAAAACUGUACUUUCUGAGUCUUUUUAAAAAUCUAUCUUCUCAUCCUUUCUACACAGGCAACAAAAAAAAAAAAAGAAAGAAAGAAAGGGGACAGAGAAAUGGAAGUGACAAUAAAUUCAAGAUAAUUGAGCAACGUAUCAGCAGGCUCUUGGGUGAAGUUCUCCAUGUGCUGUUUUGCUGAUGGGGAAACUGAGGCUUAGGGAGUCUAACACUACUGCAACCACUGGAAAAUGGUGGACCCAGGCAUGAGACCCAGGUCUGUCUGAUCCCACAGCUAGCGCUCUUUCUACUUCACCACAUGACAUUCUGAAAGGAACCAUCCUGAGUACAUUAAAGCUGCUGGAAUUUACAAGAUAGCAGCCCAGUUACAGAACUGGGAUUGUCCUAGAACAGGCAAGGACAAUGGAGGAACCAUUGAAGCUGCCAAAAGGACCUGUACUCCUUAUGCACCCCUGCAUCCAGAGCUAGCUAGACAGUCCCAGUCACUCAGAACCACUACAAGGAUUAUCCAAAGCUUUAGAGUUUCUGAAUCACCUUCAAGUUUCAGCGUCAAUAUGAACUCAACCCACUACUUCAGUGCAUCAAGAAAGAGAAAUGUUUACCAGCAGAGAGGCAAUCUAUACUGGGCCUUCAACAAUGACCUCUUGCACAGACAAUGAAAUCCAGAAGCUUUUGCUGAUUGAUGUCAUGUGAUUGUAACUAAGGAGAACCUGAGACAUUUCUCUAGCAUUUGCCUCUCUUGCCAGCCUGAUUCAAAUCUGUUCAACUUCAAGAUACCGUAUAGACAUAGUAUAGAAACUCAAGGUUUGGACUACACCUCUACAAUGUUGUGCGUUUCUUUCUGCAUUACUCCCAUCCCCAAGAAAUAAAAGUACAAAGCAGAAAAUCAAAAUCAUCAACAAUCCCACCCACCAAAAUGUAACAUUUUGGUAUAUAAAUAAAUUAAAACCUUUUCUAUGGAGAUGCAUCUUUUAAAAAAACAAAGGAACAUUUGAUGUAUUCUUUUAACAAGUGUUUUUCCUCAUCUAUUAUAUAUUAUAUAUAUUUUUUGAAGCACAACACACAAAUUUUAAGUAUAGAGUUGCCUGAGUUUUCACAAAGUAGACAUGUCCCAUGUAAUCAUCACCCAGGUAAAGAAAUAAAAUAUUACUGACCUCUCAGGGUUUUGUGCUUCCCCCCAGCCACACUCCUCAUACCAGAAGUAAAACACUAUUCUGGCUUCUUUCACCAUUCACUACUUUCAUGUUUGUGAACUUUUCAUAAAUGAAAUUAUAAAGUAUGCACAUCUUUUUGCAUCUAGCUUCCUUUGUGUUUUAUUAUACGACUCAUCCAAGUGGUUGCACGUGGCAGUAAUCACUCUCCCUUAUGGUACAGAAGUCCAUUGUGUGAGUACACAAGUUACUUUUUCAUUCUAUGCUUGAUGAACUUUUGGGAGGUUUCCAAUUCUUGGGUAUUAUGAAUAGCGCUGCUAAGAGUGUUCUUGUACAUAUCUUUGGUGCCUUUAUGUUCACAUUUCUCUUGUACAUAAUUAAAAGUGGAAUUUCUGGGUUAUGUUAUGACUGUUAGCUUUAGUACAGAGUGUCAAACCGUCUUCCAAAGUGGUUGGGUAUGCUCACACUCCCACCAGCAGUUCAUGGACAUCCCAGUUGCUUUACAUUCUCACCAAAACUUGUUACUAUCCGUCUUUUCCAUUUUAGGCAUGCAAUUGGAUGCAUAUUUGUGUCUCCACCUGUUUUCAAUUUGCAGUUAUCUGAUGACUGAUGAUGCAGAGUAGCUUUUCAGAAGUUCAUUGGAUAUCCUUUUUUUGUGAAGUAUCUUGAUGAGUGUUUUACCCUUUUGUCUUUUGGGUUGUCACUGUUGAUGUGUAGAAUUCUUUAGAUAUUCUGGUUAUAUAUAUUAUUUUACAUCUCCCAAUCUGUAGCUUAUUUUCAUUCUCUUAAUGAUGCUUUUGAUUAACACAAGUUCUUGAGUUAGUGUCCAAUUUUACAGCAUCAUCUUUUAUAAAGAGUGUCUGUGUGUCCUGUUUAAGAAAUCUUUGCCCAAAGUCAGUAAGAUUUUAUCCUAUCUUUUUCUAGAAACUUUAUUGUUUUAUCUUCACUUUCAGAUCGGCAGCCCAUCUGUAAUUGAUUCGUACAUGGUGAUAUAUGGAGGUGCGAUUUCCUUUUUUUCUAUCUGUAACCCAAUAGACUGUGAAUCCAGCACCAUUUAUUGAAAAGGUCAUCUUUCCCUGCUGCACUGCAGUCCCACUUGUGUCAUAAAUCAAGCAACCAUAUGUAUACAAAUUGGUUCCGGAACUCUCUAUUCUGCUCCAUUUAUCUAAUUUUGUGCCAACAUCAUGCUAUUAUCUUAAUUAUCAUAAUUUUAUAAGGUCUUGUUAUCAGGCAGUGCACGUCCUCCACCUUCAUUCUUCUUGUCUUAUUCUUGGCCCUUUCCAUUUUUAAUAAAAACUUUAAGCAUUUCAAUUCCCACAGAAACACCUGCUAUGGCUUUAAUUGAGACUGCUAUGGAAUUUACAGAUCAACUUGGAAAAAUUAUAUCUUUAAAACAGUGAGUCUUCCAAACUAUGUGCAUGGUAUAUACCUCCAUGUAUUUAGGUCUUUUUAAUAUCUCUUGGUGAUCCUUUGUAGUUUACUGUGUAUUGAUCUGACAUAUAUUUCAUUUGAUUUUUCCUAGGUAUUUGAUAUUUUUAUGGUGUUUUAAAUGCUAUAUUUUAAAUGUUCAUUUUCUAUGAUUAUUUCUGGCAUAUAAGUACAACUGCAUAUUUGAUCUUUAGUCAAUGACCUUAACAAUUCACUUAUUAAUUGCAAUAACUUGCUUAUAGAAUUUUUUGGAUUUUCUACAUACACAAGCUCAUCUGUGAAUAAUGACAGUUUUGUUUCUUCCUUUCCAGUCCUUACACGAUUUUACCAUUGUUUUUCCUGUCUUGUUGCACUGGCUAAUAACUCUGGUACAAUGAUUAAUGGGCAUCCUUGUCUCAUCCCCAAUCCUGGUGUAUACUGGGGGAGAGCCUUUCAAUAUUUUAUUGUUAAACAUGUUUCCUGUAAGCUUUUGAUAUAUACUCUUAUCAGACUAAACAAUUUCUUCUUUCUUCCUAGUUUUAUACCAGUUUUAUUUUUUACAUCUUGAAUGGAUUUUAUCAAAUGCCUAGUUAUAUAAAAUAUGAGUUUCUCACUGAUUCUCUUACUGUGAAUUAUAUUCAUUGUUUUAAAAAUGCUAAGCAACUCUUGCAUUUCUGAAAUAAACCUAGCCUAUUUGGGAUAUAUGAUCUUUUUAAAUAUAGCACUGCAUUUUAUUUUAUGUUAGGAUUUUCCAUUACACAAAAUUUAACAUGUUGUGAAUAACUAACCACAUG
Vicugna pacos (alpaca) is the source of this 3718-nucleotide non-coding RNA. The record is from RefSeq and is a predicted model, not a curated record. Lineage: Eukaryota; Metazoa; Chordata; Mammalia; Artiodactyla; Camelidae.